CCCAACUGAAAAAUGAUAUUGCAAAAUGAAAGUGAAAUUUUUUAAGAAACUCACAGAAAGAUAGUACAAGAGGAAUUAAGUGCCUACGGUUAUUGUGACUACAAUGAAUAAGAUAUGCAUAAUGCGUUUAAUCAAAUAACAACAUUUUUCAUUUGAUAUUUCCAGUUGAAAGGAAAUGCUGCAUAACAAAAAAGAAAAAUCUAUUUAAGAAUAAGAUUUUAGGGAAUACUUCAAUCAGAAUGUUACACUUUUCAAUUGGCUUAAGAAUAAACCAUGCUUCAACAUUAAGAUCUAGCUUCUAACUCAUUGAGAAAAUGGCACACUAGAUUUUAUGAACUAUAAAAUGAUUCCCUAAAUGUUGGGAUCCAUAAUUAACUAUAAUGAGAAUUUGUCUCCAAGUUAUGCAAGCAACACGAGAGGAAGACAAAAUCUGUACAGUUAGCCCAAUAGUCGUCCAAUGAAAACAUUAUAUAUGACAGCUUCAUAGCAAUACAUACUGCAGGAAAUCCUCGUUGAAACAA
RNAcentral lists this unclassified non-coding RNA (521 nucleotides) under Hevea brasiliensis (rubber tree). Lineage: Eukaryota; Viridiplantae; Streptophyta; Magnoliopsida; Malpighiales; Euphorbiaceae. The record is from RNAcentral.